Molecule: long non-coding RNA, 599 nt
Organism: Portunus trituberculatus (swimming crab)
Lineage: Eukaryota; Metazoa; Arthropoda; Malacostraca; Decapoda; Portunidae
Exons: 5
Source: RefSeq, a predicted model, not a curated record
UGCUGGACAGGACCACGUGAUCUUCAAACAUACCACAUGGGGAGUGGUGUUGCAUGAUUGGUUAUCCUUGUUUAUCCCGCGCAUCCGAGUGAUUACUAUUGUUUAGAGUGUCUGUAGUGAAUCUUGAGUGUUUGAUCGACUCGUGUGAUUAUUUCAAAAGACGUAAUGCGUGAGGAACCAGGAGAAAUGAGGUCUCGGCAGACUCAGGGAAGGUGAGACACGAACAGACAAGUUUCCAGCUCCGCCGCCACGCCCUGCAGGAAGAACUUUACACCACAAAGAGAUCGGCAGAACACCCGAAGAAAGCCAGGGAGGGGCGGGAGACUCGGCACAGGAGUUAAGGUUGCCAGUGUCCUCCGUCUCUCCACGUGGGUGAGUACAUCUGAGUGAGUGUGUGAGGACGGUGGUGAGACACAAAGUUGUUCUCCUUGACUUGAUGGAUGAGCGAAUAGAGAAGGGUGAGUUUUUUUUUUUUUUUCUAUCUUAUGUUGCGGUUCCAUUUUGUCGGAUUUACCCUUUUUUUCAUAUUUUUACUCGCAUCUAAUUUUCAAACUUGCUAGAAAUUGAAAAAAAAAAACUAUUCUUUAUAAUCCCUUCCU